CCUACGGGAGGCAGCAGUGGGGAAUAUUGGACAAUGGGGGCAACCCUGAUCCAGCCAUGCCGCGUGUGUGAAGAAGGCCCUCGGGUUGUAAAGCACUUUCAGUGAGGAAGAACGCCUGGUGGUUAAUACCCAUCAGGAAAGACAUCACUCACAGAAGAAGCACCGGCUAACUCCGUGCCAGCAGCCGCGGUAAUACGGAGGGUGCGAGCGUUAAUCGGAAUUACUGGGCGUAAAGCGCGCGUAGGUGGCUUGAUAAGCCGGUUGUGAAAGCCCCGGGCUCAACCUGGGAACGGCAUCCGGAACUGUCAAGCUAGAGUGCAGGAGAGGAAGGUAGAAUUCCCGGUGUAGCGGUGAAAUGCGUAGAGAUCGGGAGGAAUAUCAGUGGCGAAGGCGGCCUUCUGGACUGACACUGACACUGAGGUGCGAAAGCGUGGGUAGCAAACAGGAUUAGAUACCCUGGUAGUC
Molecule: ribosomal RNA, 465 nt
Filed under: Vreelandella stevensii
Lineage: Bacteria; Pseudomonadati; Pseudomonadota; Gammaproteobacteria; Oceanospirillales; Halomonadaceae
Description: partial 16S ribosomal RNA
Rfam family: Bacterial small subunit ribosomal RNA
Source: RNAcentral